RNAcentral lists this ribosomal RNA (710 nucleotides) under uncultured bacterium. RNAcentral describes it as "bacterial SSU rRNA". It matches the Rfam family "Bacterial small subunit ribosomal RNA", at positions 94 to 823 of the family's 1533-position model. The record is from RNAcentral.
AGCGGCGGACGGGUGAGUAACGCGUGGGUAACCUGCCCUGUACACACGGAUAACAUACCGAAAGGUAUGCUAAUACGAGAUAAUAUGCUUUUGUCGCAUGGUAGAAGUAUCAAAGUUUUUGCGGUACAGGAUGGACCCGCGUCUGAUUAGCUAGUUGGUAAGGUAACGGCUUACCAAGGCGACGAUCAGUAGCCGACCUGAGAGGGUGAUCGGCCACAUUGGAACUGAGACACGGUCCAAACUCCUACGGGAGGCAGCAGUGGGGAAUAUUGCACAAUGGGCGAAAGCCUGAUGCAGCAACGCCGCGUGAGCGAUGAAGGCCUUCGGGUCGUAAAGCUCUGUCCUCAAGGAAGAUAAUGACGGUACUUGAGGAGGAAGCCCCGGCUAACUACGUGCCAGCAGCCGCGGUAAUGCGUAGGGGGCUAGCGUUAUCCGGAAUUACUGGGCGUAAAGGGUGCGUAGGUGGUUUCUUAAGUCAGAGGUGAAAGGCUACGGCUCAACCGUAGUAAGCCUUUGAAACUGGGAAACUUGAGUGCAGGAGAGGAGAGUGGAAUUCCUAGUGUAGCGGUGAAAUGCGUAGAUAUUAGGAGGAACACCAGUUGCGAAGGCGGCUCUCUGGACUGUAACUGACACUGAGGCACGAAAGCGUGGGGAGCAAACAGGAUUAGAUACCCUGGUAGUCCACGCCGUAAACGAUGAGUACUAGCUGU